UACGUAGGGCGCAAGCGUUGUCCGGAAUUAUUGGGCGUAAAGAGCUCGUAGGCGGUUUGUCGCGUCUGCUGUGAAAACCUAAGGCUCAACCUUGGGCUUGCAGCCGAUACGGGCAGGCUAGAGUUCGGUAGGGGAGACUGGAAUUCCUGGUGUAGCGGUGAAAUGCGCAGAUAUCAGGAGGAACACCGGUGGCGAAGGCGGGUCUCUGGGCCGAUACUGACGCUGAGGAGCGAAAGCGUGGGGAGCGAACAGG
RNAcentral lists this ribosomal RNA (253 nucleotides) under uncultured bacterium. RNAcentral describes it as "partial 16S ribosomal RNA". It matches the Rfam family "Bacterial small subunit ribosomal RNA", at positions 524 to 776 of the family's 1533-position model. The record is from RNAcentral.